AAUAUUGGACAAUGGGCGCAAGCCUGAUCCAGCCAUGCCGCGUGCAGGAAGACUGCCCUAUGGGUUGUAAACUGCUUUUAUACGGGAAGAAACACACUUACGUGUAAGUGUUUGACGGUACCGUAAGAAUAAGGAUCGGCUAACUCCGUGCCAGCAGCCGCGGUAAUACGGAGGAUCCAAGCGUUAUCCGGAAUCAUUGGGUUUAAAGGGUCCGUAGGUGGAUAGAUAAGUCAGAGGUGAAAUCCUGCAGCUCAACUGUAGAAUUGCCUUUGAUACUGUUUAUCUUGAGUCAUUAUGAAGUGGUUAGAAUGUGUAGUGUAGCGGUGAAAUGCAUAGAUAUUACACAGAAUACCGAUUGCGAAGGCAGAUCACUAAUAAUGUACUGACACUAAGGGACGAAAGCGUGGGGAGCGAACAGGAUUAGAUACCCUGGUAGUCCACGCCGUA
Molecule: ribosomal RNA, 447 nt
Filed under: uncultured marine bacterium
Lineage: Bacteria
Description: bacterial SSU rRNA
Rfam family: Bacterial small subunit ribosomal RNA
Source: RNAcentral